Molecule: transfer-messenger RNA, 377 nt
Filed under: Candidatus Omnitrophota
Lineage: Bacteria; Pseudomonadati
Also listed under: 1 other name
Description: JACQQY01 sp016206825 Standard tmRNA
Rfam family: transfer-messenger RNA
About the family: Bacterial tmRNA, also known as 10Sa RNA or SsrA, is named for its dual tRNA and mRNA-like properties. Its role is to liberate the mRNA from a stalled ribosome.
Source: RNAcentral
GGGGGCGAUUGGAAUCGAUCUAGCUCUUUGAGUCGAUAGCUGCAUGCGGAGGUUGCUGGGAGGCCUCCUUAAACACCUGGCAAAACCAUAAGUGCCAACACCAUCCGUGUGCCCUUAAUGGGCCCCAUGGCGUUGCCGUUAGCCGCUUAAUCACGGCUACCGUCCGCUCGACCCUGUCUGCGGGUUGAGGCCGGGCGUCGAAAGCAGGCUGGCUGGGUGAGCCCGCCUUGGGUUUAUCCGGCGAGAAUCUCACAAGGCUUGCCUUUUGAAAUCGCGCUUGUUCGAGUUCAAAAGGGACUUUAAAAGACAAGCUAAGCAUGUAGUGGCUGCGACCCCAAAAACUAGAGACGCGAGUUCGAAUCUCGCCGCCUCCACCA